GAGGAAGAAGUUCAAGAAGCUGUGGUUUGGAACGAAGAAAGGCAACGCAACCACAAAUAUAUAAAGUGGUGUGCAUCGAAAAUAAAGUGGAGCUAUCCUUCCAGGACUGAAAAGAAAGAAAGAAGAUAAAAAGCAAGAUAUUGGCUGCUGAAUGACUGACUGAUUGAUGAGAUCAGCAUCUUUCCAAGGGAUCUGGAUCUGGAUCUGA
RNAcentral lists this long non-coding RNA (208 nucleotides) under Astyanax mexicanus (Mexican tetra). Its description in RNAcentral is "lncRNA (ENSAMXG00005013621.1)". Lineage: Eukaryota; Metazoa; Chordata; Actinopteri; Characiformes; Acestrorhamphidae. The record is from RNAcentral.